UACGUAGGGAGCAAGCGUUGUCCGGAAUCAUUGGGCGUAAAGAGCGCGUAGGUGGCUUCGUAAGUCCGUUGUGAAAGUCAAAGGCUCAACCUUUGAAAGCCGAUGGAUACUGCGGAGCUAGAGUACGGAAGAGGCGAGUGGAAUUCCUGGUGUAGCGGUGGAAUGCGCAGAUAUCAGGAGGAACACCGAUGGCGAAGGCAGCUCUCUGGGGCGGCCCUGACGCUGAGGCGCGAAAGCGUGGGGAGCGAACGGG
Molecule: ribosomal RNA, 253 nt
Filed under: uncultured bacterium
Lineage: Bacteria
Description: partial 16S ribosomal RNA
Rfam family: Bacterial small subunit ribosomal RNA
Source: RNAcentral